This is a long non-coding RNA of Pan paniscus (pygmy chimpanzee), 1655 nucleotides long. NCBI's taxonomy places the organism in Eukaryota, Metazoa, Chordata, Mammalia, Primates, Hominidae. The record is from Ensembl.
GUCUCCGUGCAUGGUCUCUCUUGGUAUUCUGUAAUUUAAAUUGAAUGUUGCUCUAAGUGUAUAAACAGUACCCUUAUAAUAUUAUGUACCAAAGGAAAAUAAGAAUACUAGCAAGAUAAAAUUAACUGCCAGCUUCUAUCCAACAUGUUUAGGAUGACAACAGCACAAGGAAUAUGGUAUCUGGCAUAUGAGGGAGCACCCUGAACAGUGUUCAGGAGGGACUGCCUCAUGUAGCUUUUCUUUUCUGCUCUUCUAAGCUUGUUGAUUAUUUUUCAAGUCAUAAAAUAAAUCCCCAAACUCUUCCCACAGGCUUCCUGUUAUGGCAAUGGAAAGGAUUCUAGGAAAGGAUGCCAACAGGCCAGAUGUCAUCUUUUUUGGUGGGCUGUACACAUCAGACUGGACUUGCCUUAAAUGAGAUUCAGACAAUCCUUUUUGCCAAAUGCCCAACAAGAAAGGAGCAGUUAUGCAGAACUUGUGGUAGAAGGAGGGAAACUGAGGACCUUAGACAUCUCCGUCUGAUGAGUAACUGCUACCAGUCACAGCUUGGAGAGCUGGACACUUCACCACUCAGGUAUGGAAGGUGAAGGCCAUGUUUUUAUCCUAUUAAUUGCUUGUUUUUUUAAAAGAAUUGCUGUUUUUGGAUAAAUUGAAAUCAAAGUUUCAAUCUCAGGUCAACAGAUGUCUGAAAAUAACAGCAAGAAAGAAAUGAAAAAGAAUCUCCCACAGAGGUAUGUUAUAUCAUUUCCCCGCAAGUCUUUUAACACAGGGUGGAUGAACAGCUCUCUAGCAUUAUGUGAAUGGGAGGCUGCCUAAAGGAAGGGAAAUGGGUUGGAUAAUUUGGGGACUCCCUCAGCUAAUUUAGAAAAUUAUCUGUUUUUUCAAUGGUGUGGGUUCUUGGAAGAAAAUGAAGAGCAUUGGGAAGAAUCCUCAAGAGAUUGCAAGCUUUGAUCAAGUGUGCUCCUAAAGGGAAACAUUAAAGACAGUCUUUAAAACAAACAAAAAACAAAUAAAAAGCCUAUUCUGAAAGUCCAUAUUAAAUUCUUAUUUAUAGAUACUAAUAGAUGGUAGCUCAUGGAGUUAGGGGCAAAGAGAGGUGCUUAGGAAAGGUCUGCUUCUAUCAGAAAAGGUAUGAUUUGAAAUAUUAUAAUUUAAUUUUAACCUAAUGCUCUUUUUGCAAAUAUCUUCCACCACCUUCUCUAAACUCAGAGCUCCCUAGUAUAAACAGUUUUCUGUGCUUGUUAUAGUAGAGUUACCUCAGGUCUCCAGGUCUCACUGGCCCAGGGAGGACAACAAAGCCAUUGCCAAACAAAGGUACAGUAAUGCCCAGAAUGCUCAUUGUAUUAAAUUCCUUCCAUCUGAUUAAGAGGACAUUGGGGAGUCUCCUUUGUCCUCCUGAAAACCAUGAUGCUCUAUGCCCAUGCUGUAUGGAAUGUAUUAUUUUCUCUUUAAUUCCUAAUACGCUGUUCCCUGAUCACUGCAUUGGCAGCCUUGAGCUCUAAGUUUUCUUUCCUAGAGCUUUUAAAAUGUUUAUUUAUUUGACCCAAACUUUACUAGAGAUUCUAAUUCCAGAUUAAGGGCCUUGACUUCAGUAACCAGAUUCAACAGAUAAAAUACUGGAUCCCCCAUUAAAUUUGAAUUUUAGGUAAACAUUGACU